AUUUGUUACUUCAAGGCUGGAUUACUGCAACUCUUUAUUAUCAGGUUGUCCCAAUAAGUCCAUUAAAACGCUCCAAUUAAUUCAGAACGCUGCAGCACGAGUACUGACAGGAACUAGAAAAAGAGAUCACAUCUCUCCUGUACUAGCUUCUCUGCACUGGCUCCCUGUAAAAUGUAGAAUAGAAUUUAAAAUCCUCCUCCUCACCUAUAAAGCUCUUCAUGGUCAGGCCCCUUCAUAUCUUAAAGAGCUCAUAGUACCCUAUUACCCCACUAGAACACUACGUUCUCUGAAUGCUGGGCUACUUGUGGUUCCUAUAGUCUCUAAAAGUAGAACAGGAGCCAGAGCCUUCAGUUACCAAGCUCCUCUCCUGUGGAACCAGCUUCCAGUUGUGGUUCGGGAGGCAGACACCCUCUCCACAUUCAAGAGUAGGCUUAAGACAUUCCUCUUUGAUAAAGCUUAUAGUUAGGGCUGGAUCAGGUGAGUCCUGAACCAUCCCUCAGUUAUGCUGCUAUAGGCCUAGACUAUCGGGGGAUUUCCCAUGGUGCACUGAGCUCCUCUCUUCCUCUCUCUUUCUGCACUCAUUCAUGUUCCAUUAAUGCAUUUUACUACCUUCACUUCUUCCCCGGAGUUCUUGUGCUUUCCCGUCUCGCAGGUUCUCAUGGAUCCUGGUGGAGCCUCCUGCCAUGGUCCUGCUUGACUGCCAUUGCCAAUACUGUUGUUGCUGUGCACCUGUCUGUCUGUCUGUCGCUCUCUCUCUCUCUCUCUCUCUCUCUCUCUCUCUCUCUCUCUCUCUCCUCUCACCCCAACUGGUCGAGACAGACGACCACCCACCUAGAGCCGGAGGAUCUGUCCUAGGUUUCUGCCUUUUAACAGGCAGUUUUUCCUUGCCCUUGUCGCCAAGUGCUUGCUCAUGGUGGUACUGUUGGGUCUCUGUAAUUAAUGUUAAAGAGUUCGGUCUAGACCUGCUCUAUUUGAAAAGUGUCCUGAGAUAACUUCUGUUAUGAAUUGGCGCUAUACAAAUAAAAUUGAAUUGAAUUGAA
Molecule: long non-coding RNA, 1040 nt
Organism: Dicentrarchus labrax (European seabass)
Lineage: Eukaryota; Metazoa; Chordata; Actinopteri; Moronidae
Exons: 2
Source: RefSeq, a predicted model, not a curated record